UUCCUUGAAUAUUGUAACAAAAUACACUGCACCUUCAGUAACAGUGUGUCUGAAAUGUAUUUUUGCUGCAGACUAUUAUCUGAGCAUCUUGCAUGUUUGAGUUCUACAAAUAUGAAAACUGUGGGCAGAGCACCCCCUGCAGAGAGGUGACCCCUCGUGUCCUAUGGAUGGGGACAUCCUAAAGAGACCACUCAUUUCAGUCUCUUUUUCCUCAGGAUCGACAAGAGGAUAUGGAGGUUUGUUGGAGGACAAGGAGCUGUUUUCAGAGAUUGAGGAGAGGGGACACACCAUCUAUGGCCUCGUGGGUGGAGCUGCCUGGCCUGUACAGGAGACUUUUUUUAUUUUUUUUUUUAUUCUUAUUAACCACCUUAAAAUUUGAAGCCCAACAUAAAACAGUGCCUGAGGUUACACAAACAAAUAGUUUCAAUCUUAACAGGCAGUUUUGUUAUUUUUAAUCUGCAGGGACUAAUUCACUACUUCUGACCAGUAAUGGAUAUGCACAGCCCAGCAUAAUGACGCAAACCCUCCGAGAGCCAGAAACUGACUCUUUUUCAGAAUUGUCUUUCAAUACAGUAUUACUACAUUACUUUUUGAACAUUUUAAAAUAAAUUUUAUUCUUCUACAGUGCACAGCUACUUUCAAGUUUAAACAUUGCAAAACAGGCAGUUUAAGUUUUGUGUGUGGAUAAGUUGUCUGUUUUUGUAACGUAAAUUCCGUAGCAGGAUCACUUAAUCCACUCUGUAUUUUGACAGGCAAAAGUGUUAGGAAUUAAUUGGGAGUUGUGACAGUGAUUUAGCUACUGAUUUCUUCAGCAAAUGUGACAGGACAAUUUUGCAGGGAAAACACAACCUCAAAUGUAUCAAUAAAUUAAGUUUAUUCAGUAUGUUUCCAUACAUGUUUAAUGAUCUGUCCAAAAAGACCAGAAUAGGAAAGGGACAUAUCACUAGCUCCAAAAAAAGAAAAGGCAAAAAUUCUCAGUGAUUGAAUGACAUACACCAUCAUUGUCAUGUUGAUACUGCUUCUACAAGAACACUGUUCAAACACUUCACCUAGGAUAGGUUAUCAUUCCAUUAAAAAUAAAACUGAGGCAGAGUAUCUGCCUAUCAUCCACAAAAUAAUUUGGAGUAUCAGUCUGCUCAGAAAAAAGAAGUUUCCACAACAUUAGUAUGUUGAUUUGGAUUGAAGUACUAAAAUAAUGCUAAGACCAACACAAGCUGUUAAGAAUUAUCCAUGUGAUGUG
Molecule: long non-coding RNA, 1240 nt
Organism: Monopterus albus (swamp eel)
Lineage: Eukaryota; Metazoa; Chordata; Actinopteri; Synbranchiformes; Synbranchidae
Exons: 3
Source: RefSeq, a predicted model, not a curated record